RNAcentral lists this unclassified non-coding RNA (347 nucleotides) under soil metagenome. RNAcentral's name for it is "partial contains 5.8S ribosomal RNA, internal transcribed spacer 2, and large subunit ribosomal RNA". The stretch from base 1 to 120 matches the Rfam family "5.8S ribosomal RNA", at positions 35 to 154 of the family's 154-position model. The record is from RNAcentral.
GAUGAAGAACGUAGCGAAAUGCGAUAAGUAAUGUGAAUUGCAGAAUUCAGUGAAUCAUCGAGUCUUUGAACGCACAUUGCGCCCCCUGGUAUUCCGGGGGGCAUGCCUGUCCGAGCGUCAUUGCUGCCCUCAAGCACGGCUUGUGUGUUGGGCCGUCGUCCCCCUCCUAGGUGACGGGCCCGAAAGGCAGCGGCGGCACCGCGUCCGGUCCUCGAGCGUAUGGGGCUUCGUCACCCGCUCCGUAGGCCCGGCCGGCGCUUGCCGACGACCAUCAAUCUCUUUCUCCAGGUUGACCUCGGAUCAGGUAGGGAUACCCGCUGAACUUAAGCAUAUCAAUAAGCGGAGGA